GGGAAAUUUGGUCAUGGGGCGGAAGCCUGAACCAGCCAUGCCGCGUGAAGGACUAAGGCCCUACGGGUCGUAAACUUCUUUAGACGCAGAGCAAUAAGGUCCACGUGUGGACCGAUGAGAGUAUGCGUAGAAUAAGCAUCGGCUAACUCCGUGCCAGCAGCCGCGGUAAUACGGGGGAUGCGAGCGUUAUCCGGAUUCAUUGGGUUUAAAGGGUGCGUAGGCGGCCGAGUAAGUCAGCGGUGAAAGACCGGGGCUCAACCCUGGAAGUGCCGUUGAUACUGUUUGGCUGGAAUGAUCCCGCCGCGGGAGGAAUGAGUGGUGUAGCGGUGAAAUGCAUAGAUAUCACUCAGAACACCGAUUGCGAAGGCACCUCGCGAGGGGUCAAUUGACGCUGAGGCACGAAAGCGUGGGGAUCGAACAGGAUUAGAUACCCUGGUAGUCCACGCAGUAAACGAUGAUGGCUAACUGUCGGGCCUACGGGUUCGGCGGCCAAGCGAAAGCGAUAAGCCAUCCACCUGGGGAGUACGACCGCAAGGUUGAAACUCAAAGGAAUUGACGGGGGCCCGCACAAGCGGAGGAACAUGUGGUUUAAUUCGAUGAUACGCGAGGAACCUUACCCAGGCUCGAACGGCAGCUGAUUUGAGUAGA
This 648-nucleotide ribosomal RNA is filed under the name uncultured bacterium. Its description in RNAcentral is "bacterial SSU rRNA". It matches the Rfam family "Bacterial small subunit ribosomal RNA", at positions 357 to 1004 of the family's 1533-position model. The record is from RNAcentral.